Molecule: long non-coding RNA, 1179 nt
Organism: Panthera uncia (snow leopard)
Lineage: Eukaryota; Metazoa; Chordata; Mammalia; Carnivora; Felidae
Exons: 4
Source: RefSeq, a predicted model, not a curated record
UCAACAUGUGAAAGCUGGGGGGACACAAACAUUCAGUCCAUUGUACAUCUGCUGCAUUAGCACUCUCAGCAGGUGGGUACUGGUGCUUAGGCUUGACAUCUCAUGGUCACAAGACGGCUGCCACAGCUCCAGGCAUCACAUCCGCACACAACUGUCCAAAAUAGGAAGGGAAGAGAAGGAGCAAAGGAGCCUACACCUCACGUGGCUUUCUCUUCCACUGAAGAGGAAAAACUUUACCUUGAAGCAAACUGCCACUCACCGGGCCCUCCGGAGAUUUCUCUUUACAUUAAUAUCACUCGAAACGGGACCACAUGGCCACCCAAGACCAACGAGGGGCAGAGUACACAGACUCCCACGGUCACCUGAGACACAGUGAGAUUUGUCUUCCGAUCAUCUUCUGAGUUAUACACAAUUCAAGCCAAGAAGGUUCCGCAGUGGGGAAGAGAGCAGACAAGACCACUGCCCUUUCUCCACCACGGGCUGCUGUGAGGGGCCAAGGAAACGGCAGAGGGACCUUUGGAUGGAAACCUUGGCAGCACGCGGAAGGGCUGUCUCCUGUCCUAGGGGCGGCCCGAGACGCCAGACAAGUGAUGGUGGUGGUGACGAUGAUGAUGGUGACAAUGGCAGCCAUGAUUUGUUACCACUCUGAAGACCUUGCUUGGCGUCAGGCACCCUAUAAGCCUUUAUGUGCACGACAUUGGCUCCAUCGUGACCCCCACUUCAUAGAUGAGGAGCCUGAGGUCCAGAGUGGUGUACCAUUUUCCAACCACAGCUUGGGAGCUCACUCUGCCCCUGCGCCUUUGCACAUGUGAAUUAUCUGCCUGGGAUGCCUCCUCUGCUUCAGCCGAUUGUCACCCCAUUCUUAGGGUCCGGAAUGAGUCCCCGCUUCCUUCAAGACGCCUUUUGUAUCUGCUCUGUGGUUGAGCCCACCAGCUUUGCUUUUUAGGACAGUACAUAUUGUGUGUUUUCAGAUCUCCUCUGAGUUUUAAAGGAUUAGGAAGGGACGUAGAAGGGGACAAGGCAAUAGAUGGGCUUAUAUCUUCCUGUUCUUCCAAAGCGCUGUGACCUUGGAUCUGCUCCCUAACUCCUCUGAGCCUCAUCUUGUCCUUGUAUAGGAGGUGAGUCUAGUGAAGAACCCAUCCCUAGCUAACUCACAGGCCCUUGUGGGAGGGCUGGGCA